RNAcentral lists this ribosomal RNA (447 nucleotides) under uncultured bacterium. RNAcentral describes it as "bacterial SSU rRNA". It matches the Rfam family "Bacterial small subunit ribosomal RNA", at positions 28 to 457 of the family's 1533-position model. The record is from RNAcentral.
GAUGAACGCUGGCGGCGUGCUUAACACAUGCAAGUCGAGCGAAGCACUUUUGCGGAUUUCUUCGGAUUGAAGCAACUGUGACUGAGCGGCGGACGGGUGAGUAACGCGUGGGUAACCUGCCUCAUACAGGGGGAUAACAGUUGGAAACGGCUGCUAAUACCGCAUAAGCGCACAGUACCGCAUGGUACCGUGUGAAAAACUCCGGUGGUAUGAGAUGGACCCGCGUCUGAUUAGCUAGUUGGUGGGGUAACGGCCUACCAAGGCGACGAUCAGUAGCCGACCUGAGAGGGUGACCGGCCACAUUGGGACUGAGACACGGCCCAAACUCCUACGGGAGGCAGCAGUGGGGAAUAUUGCACAAUGGGGGAAACCCUGAUGCAGCGACGCCGCGUGAGCGAUGAAGUAUUUCGGUAUGUAAAGCUCUAUCAGCAGGGAAGAAAAUGACGG